This is a long non-coding RNA of Lytechinus variegatus (green sea urchin), 376 nucleotides long. RefSeq lists it as uncharacterized. The transcript has 2 exons. NCBI's taxonomy places the organism in Eukaryota, Metazoa, Echinodermata, Echinoidea, Temnopleuroida, Toxopneustidae. The record is from RefSeq and is a predicted model, not a curated record.
AAAAAGAGGAAAAAGAAAAGGGAAUGAUAACAAAGAUACCAUUGGAAAACGUAACAUCGGAAGAAAAGUAGCACGUGGAACAGGGUCAAAUGAAUUAUCUACACUGUCUACUACGGCUCUGUAGUGUAGAAACCAUUAUAAAUCAAAGAACUACCGUAGGCCAGAGGGGAGGGGGGGGGGGGUCGUUCGAGGCAUUUUGGGGAGAAACGAGCAGGCGUGGACACAAACCAUUUUGAUUUCGGAGAAGAAAAUUUGUCACCCUUGUAAACCCCGCCCUUCUUUGUUUCAUGGACCUGCUUCUGAUAAAACUUAACAUUUUGUGCGUCGUUCUAGAGAACGUAACAAGUGGUGGUUAAUUUUAAGAUGCCGGUAAAAU